This 251-nucleotide ribosomal RNA is filed under the name uncultured bacterium. RNAcentral's name for it is "partial 16S ribosomal RNA". It matches the Rfam family "Bacterial small subunit ribosomal RNA", at positions 109 to 353 of the family's 1533-position model. The record is from RNAcentral.
AGUAACACGUAGGUAACCUGCCCGUGUGCCCGGGAUAACUUCUGGAAACGGAUGCUAAAACCGGAUAGGUAGCAGACAAGCAUUUGACUGCUAUUAAAGUGGCUAAGGCCAUGAACAUGGAUGGACCUGCGGUGCAUUAGCUAGUUGGUGAGGUAACGGCCCACCAAGGCGACGAUGCAUAGCCGGCCUGAGAGGGCGGACGGCCACAUUGGGACUGAGACACGGCCCAAACUCCUACGGGAGGCAGCAUG